RNAcentral lists this ribosomal RNA (289 nucleotides) under uncultured bacterium. RNAcentral describes it as "partial 16S ribosomal RNA". It matches the Rfam family "Bacterial small subunit ribosomal RNA", at positions 29 to 334 of the family's 1533-position model. The record is from RNAcentral.
AAUGAACGCUGGCGGCAGGCUUAACACAUGCAAGUCGAGCGCGAACGCACCUUCGGGUGUUAGUAGAGCGGCAAACGGGUGAGUAACACGUGGGAACGUACCUUAAGGUUUGGGAUAGCCCUGGGAAACUGGGAAUAAUACCGAAUGUGCUCUACGGAGGAAAGAUUUAUCGCCUUAAGAUCGGCCCGCGCUAGAUUAGCUAGUUGGUGAGGUAAUGGCUCACCAAGGCUACGAUCUAUAGCUGGUUUGAGAGGAUGAUCAGCCACACUGGGACUGAGAUACGGCCCAG